AAAAACAGUAUUUGCUUUCCAAUUGCCUAACAAUGUGGCCAACUCAAUACGAAUUCAAAGCUAUAUUUUGCAAAAUGUUCUGUAUACAAAUGCCACACAGAAGGCAUGCGGAAAAAGCGUCAAAAACUAUACAUUUCUAGGAGCUGCUAUGUAAAAUUUAGCUAGGUAUUUUUUUUGUACAAGCGUUGAUCGUCAAACAUUGAGUUUCUUUUUCCUAGCUCGCAGGCCAUUGAUUGAUUCUCAAUUGAAUUCCAUGCUUCUAAAAAGGAUCAGGCAUGUAGCUUUUUUCACUAGACACUUGAGUUUCUCCGUCAGAUUCAUCUUUAGUUCAACUAAAGCACCUCUUUCCCCACCUUAAAAGGAGGCACAGGAAGGAUGUUAAGAGAGUGAGCUCUUCAUCAUUCUUUCCUUUCAC
RNAcentral lists this unclassified non-coding RNA (415 nucleotides) under Hevea brasiliensis (rubber tree). Lineage: Eukaryota; Viridiplantae; Streptophyta; Magnoliopsida; Malpighiales; Euphorbiaceae. The record is from RNAcentral.